Molecule: long non-coding RNA, 335 nt
Organism: Brienomyrus brachyistius
Lineage: Eukaryota; Metazoa; Chordata; Actinopteri; Osteoglossiformes; Mormyridae
Exons: 3
Source: RefSeq, a predicted model, not a curated record
GCCUGUGCCUUUAAGAGCAGCUCACAGCCUAUAGCACUGAACUGGGAUAAAAUAAGGUGCGCCUGUACCUUUAAGAGCAGCUCACAGUCUAUAGCACUGGACUGGGAUAAAAUAAGGUGUGCCUGUACCUUUAAGAGCAGCUCACAGGCUAUAGCACUGAACUGGGAUAAAAUAAGGUGUGCCUGUGCCUUUAAGAGCAGCUCACAGCCUAUAGCACUGAACUGGGAUAAAAUAAGGUGCGCCUGUGCCUUUAAGAGCAGCUCACAGCCUAUAGCACUGGACUGGGAUAAAAUAAGGUGCGCCUGUACCUUUAAGAGCAGCUCACAGCCUAUAGC